This 5586-nucleotide long non-coding RNA is filed under the name Lactuca sativa (garden lettuce). Its description in RNAcentral is "long non-coding RNA (LSAT_LNC008590)". Lineage: Eukaryota; Viridiplantae; Streptophyta; Magnoliopsida; Asterales; Asteraceae. The record is from RNAcentral.
AGAAAACUCAAUCUCCGCCUCCAUCGAUCAAAGAUCAGAUCAGAGGCGGACCCAAAAAAAAUUUAAACAGGGGGAAAAAAAAUCAACUUGAAGCGGUUUGAAGAUGUACACACAAAGAUCUACUUAUCUUGCAAACAUGUAUCUUCCAGCAACAAUUAAACCACAGUUAUUAUAGUAAACAAAACAUAGACAUUUUUUUUAAUAUUAUAAUUAGAUAACGGAUAACCACUUGUCUUUUCGAAGAGAUCAAAAGGAACAUAAACUAGGGAAAUACAAAUAAAGUAGUUCCAUUAAACAAUGACCAUCUAAUAAACAAUAACCUGUCAUGUACUCGGUAAUUGGCAACGACGGGAUCUCAUUGUUUGAAAUCUUUUCAAAAUGCUGUCAUUUGGAAUCGUUUGAAAAAUCUCUUUCUCAAUGUAUGUAACCAAACAAUCAUUCAACCAUUGGUCCCCAAUUUUGUUGCGGAAUCGAGUUUUCACAAUCUUCAUUGCUGAAAAUGAUCGUUCAACUGAAGCCGUUGAGAUGGGUAAAACAAAAACUAGUUUGAUCAGUCGAUAAACCAAGUGGUAAAUGAAAUUUUUCUUUGUCUCGACUAGCUUCAUUGCAAGGUAUCCAACUCCCUUUAAACCAGAAAAAUGAGCACUAGAUUUCUUAUCAAAAAUAUACGUUUCAAGCUGAUUCUCAAGAACAAGUAUGUAUGUUUUAGAAAAGUCUGAGGGAUAAAGUUGGGCUAAGAUAACCAAUUUCUCCUUCUUGAAAGAUGAGAAAGAAUCAUCGUGGUUCAAGCAAGCCAUACAAAGUAGCAAUUCAGUAGUGGUUUCAUUAAAUCUACUUCUAAGUUCUUGAAGCACCCAAUCUAUCACAUUUUUAAAUAACUCAUUUUCAUAAUGAUGAAGGUUCGUCACUUGCUGAGCUACACGACGAGCCCUACCUCGAGUGUCAUUAACCUUUGUUUCCGAGUGUCAUUAACCUUUNAAGACAUCAUCCAUCUUUGGAAUAGCAAUACUAUACUUUUCGCAAAAUAAAUAAACUUCUUUGACCAAUGAUUCCCACCCUUCGUUUCUCAGUGUCUUUAACCUUUGUUUUGAAAUACCAACUAGUUCCAUAGCAUUCACUAUAUCUUGAUUUUUCCUCUGUAAUGCCAAUGAUAACUCGUUAGUAAUUCCAAGUAUACUUUUCAUCAAGAUCAACGCAAAAACAAAAUCAAAAGAUUGUGUCCAAUCCAACAAUAUGACUGCUUCUGCCUUUUGCUCAGAGCUCCCACAAUCCUCAACAACAUACACAAGCACCUCAAUUAUAGAAGAAAAUAAGAUACUGAUGUUCAACAAUGUUACGUAAUGAGAUCCCCAUCAUGUAUCGGUUUCCCUUUGAAGAGUAUAUUCUUGAUUUAACCCUUUACUAGUUUCAAUUUCACCAAUAUCUAUUGCUUCUAGGAUCUUCUCAGCUUGUUUCUCACGAAGCAGAUAUUUAUGCUUACAAGAGGCUCCAACAACAUUCACUAACUUGCUAAUCAUAGUGAAAAGCAAAGCAAUGUCAACAUGAUUCUUAGCUACAGCAACAAGAACCAGCUGGAGUUGAUGUUCGAAGCAAUGGACAUAAAAUGCAGAGCUGUUAUUCCUCAAAAUCAGACUCUUGAGACCAUUAAACUCACCUCGCAUAUUGCUAGCUCCAUCGUAGCCUUGCCCACGAAUUCGUGACACAGUAAGCUUGUAUGUUGCAAGUAAUAAAUCAAUGGCUGCUUUCAAGGACAAAGAUUUAGUAUUUGGUACAUGUACAAUCCCAAGAAAGCGUUCAAUUACGUAACCUUUUUUUUCUACAUAUCGAAGUACAAGUGCCAUUUGUUCUUUCGUAAAGACAUCACGACAUUCAUCAACCAAAAUAGAAAAGUAGUCAUCCCCAAUAUCUUCAGUUAUAAGCUUACUAGUUUCAAUUGCACAAGACGAUGCUAUAUCUAUUUGGAUUUUAUGAUAGUACAACUUGUUGUUUUUUGGAGCAUUUUGCAAGAUGAAUUUUCUUGUUUCUUCAUUGUGGUCCGCCAAAAACUUCAACAACUCUCUAAAGUUGCCCUGAUUACUUGAAAGUUCUGACUCGUCAUGGCCCCAAAAUGCUAAACCUUGAUGUAGAAGGUAUCGAACACAAUCAACAGAAGCGAUUAAUCGAGUCUUAUACUCAAUUUGGAUUUGAUCAGAUUGCUUAAUAAACGAAUACGCAAUGUGCUAAUUUUGAUUCAUCAAAUCUUCACAUUUUUGUCGGUCUUAAUUGUGAGCACUCCCUGGACCACUAAUAUGAAUUUUAAAACUUUCCGGCUUUUACCAAUUAUUGAAUCCUUCGGUUAUGAAAGAUUUGUCAUCACUUGCUUCGACAUCAUCAUCACAUAAAUAACAAUAUAAGCAGAAUGCAGCAUCUUCCGUCACGCUGUAUUCUAACCAAGGUUUGUAUAAAUCCAAAUCGAACCAACCACGAAUAAAUCUCCUUUUUGUAGGGCAUAAAACCCAAUUAUUUGAAUUUGAAAAAUAAUAAUAAACAAAGUAACCCGGCAUGAAGGAUGAAUCAAUGGAAAGUAAAGUCAGACACAAAAAUCAAAACUAUAAGUCUGUAAAUAAAGCAGAAUCAAUUUGUUGUCGUGAGAAGUGAGAAGUGAAAGAGGCAUGCUUUCUUUUUAUUUAUUUAUCCUUCUUAUCUUUUGACUGUGCGAAUAAAGCCACCAAUACUAAAACUUUUACCCUCCUUAAUUUCUUAUUCUUUUUCAAAAAAAUUCAAAGAGAUAUUUUAAAAAAAGAAUAUUUUUUUUGUUGUGGGGGCAGCUGCCCCCAUUGCCCCCACUGUGAGUCCGCCUCUGGAUAAGAUGCAGAUAAAUCAAACGGAUUCUAUUUCAAACACCUUAGAUUAAACACCUUUUGUUGGUGUCGAUUACAAAUCACAACCAAGGUAGUGAAAUUAAUCCAACUAUGAUGCUAAGAUUCAACACAUAUCUCCAUCUAUUGUUCAUAUUUCUUCAUUAUUGUAAAAAAAUCUGAAUAUUUACAUAUAAUCACUUACAUGUUCAAUAUGCAAUAUGCAGGAAUAUUCUGUUUGAAAAUGAUAGCUUAAAGUCGUUCUCCGGAAAACGGAAAUGAAGACCGGUGUAUUUGAAAAGAUCGGGUACUUUGAAAAUUUUCAUCGAAAAUAACUCUUCAAUUUUGAAAAUCGAAAAUGCUAAAAAUUAGGUGAUUAUUGCUGGUCUUAUAUAUAUUCAAAACUAAAAAUAACUUUAUUUUAAUGAUUUAUCUUCCAUAUUUUGUGAAUACAAGCUCAAUCUACAAAGAAAUUUAGCUUAAAUUCAACUUAAACUAUAAAUGUAUAUGACAAAAUUGGAGAUUAAAUUGAAAUACAAAAAAGAAAAAGGAUUUAAAAUGUAUGGUAUUGAAAAACAUGUGUAGUGUAAAAUCGUUUAUGUAGUUUUUUAGUUGAUUUGGUUAACAUAUGAGUAUUCUGUUUUUGACGGUUUAAUCCAAAGAAUUAAUGAUUUUAUUAGGAGGGAUGUGGUUUUGAUUAACAAUAUGUUGUUUUUGCAUGUUCAAGAGCAAAUGCUACUGUUAUCAUUAUAAUAUUACUUGUAACAUAUCUUUAUAUUGGAAGAGUAUGAUACCUGUUAUGUUGGGCAAAGGAGAGCUUAAAGGAAGGAUGUUGAUUAGAUAAUUUGUCUAUUUUAUGGUUUUUGGGUAAGUUGUAUGUUGUUACCCCUUAUUAUAUUCUUCUGUUCUAUAAUUGGUUGCUGGGGUAUAUGUGAUAGUGAGAGAAGGAUCAUUAGAUUUAUUUAUUGCUAUUAUAGGGAGAUUAUAUACAAGUUUUGUAAUAAAAAAGGGCAAAAGUGUCUAGAUUUGUUAAUAAAAAAAUAUGCAUAUUUUUUAUUAGUAUAUAACACAUAAACAGAAAAAAAAAUUAAAACAAUAUAAAUAAGAGUAAUGUCAUAAACAUAUGCAAAAGUAGGUUGCCCUAUUAGGAUUAAUGUCAUUGAAUAACAUAUAAAUAUAAAUUGAAGAAUGCAAUAAUUUCAGUUUAUUGUUAUAAAAGGGCAUAAUUGUCCAUUUCUGUUACAACAAAAUAUAGGAAAACUAAUCCCUAUUCUAAUAAAAGAAUAGUUUUAAUAUCAUUUUGACAUGUGUCAUCAUAUUAGGCUUCUUAAUUAAUACAUAUUUUAUUUAUUUUUUGCCAUGUGUCACCAUAUUAGGCCACUAAUUAAUGCAUACCACUUGUCAAUCUAUUAAUUCUCCAUUUCAAAUUUCAAAUUUCAAAUUUCUCACUCUAAUUAAGUUAAAUUAAUAACAUUAGAAUAAAAUUAAAAUAAAAUUAAUACAAAUUAUAGUUGAUAUAAUAUUUCAUAUAUUUAUUUAAAUUAGCGAUUAUAAUUUUAUAUAACUAAAAAAAUAUAUUUUAAUUAGUAAUUUAUUUAAAAUAAUUAAUUAAUAAUUCUUGAACUUUCACUAAGAAAAUUUAAUUAAUUUUAUAACUGUGGUUUCCACGGGUUAUAAACUAGUUUUUAUUAAAAUAUAACACAAACAGAAAAUUUUAAAUAAACAAACAAUUACAAAAUAAGAUUAAUGUCAUAACCAAAUGCAAAAGUAGGUUGCCCUAAUAGGAAUAUCAUUAAUGUCACAAAAAUUAUAUAAUGUCAUUUUUUUGUCAUGGAAUAACACAGAAACACGAAUUAAACAACACAAAAAUUUAUGUUUUUUGUUAAAAAAAAGAAUGGCAACUUUAUUCUAAGAUAAACUAAAAGGACGUAAUUGUCAUUUUCAGCAAAAACUGAUGUAGACUAAAUAGUAUAAAAUAUGUCUUUGGUUGUGAUACAGGAUACUGGUCUAAGCAUCAUUAAUAGUAGGAUGUCCUUAUAAUCAAUAUCAUUUAGUAUAUUGUAUAGAGUUUAUAGAGAAGAAAUGUACAGAAGGAGAAGAAUAUAUAAAUAAUCAAAAUAAGAACACACAAUUUGUUAGAAUUACACGUAGAGAAUGAAACAGGGAUGGUUUACCAGAAUUGCAGAGUCUUUUUGGGUUUAGAUAUGAAUACGAAUACGAAACAACUAAAAAAGACGGCAAAGCCUAGAAACUUUUUAGGGAUAAAAUUGUAAUCGAUUUGAUUCCUAUUAUGAAGCAUAUAUAUUUGGAAAAUGAUAAAGUAAUUUAAAAAACAUUGCUGAUUUUAUGCAAUAUCAUAUCAUAAUCAUAAUGUUUGAUAUUUAAAUUAAAAUUUUUAAUGCAUGUUGAAUAUGGUAACCGAAUUGCUGAUUUAUAGGAGUUUGUGUGGAUUCGUCAAAGAAACAAUGGGCGGGAAAACGUUGAUAACACAUUUGUGGAAUGAACACGCGGAAUGAAGGAGAUCUAAAAAGGGCCACGUGUACUCCUUAGGAGUCUUUUAUUAGGAUUAUNNNNNNNNNNNNNNNNAUAUAUAAAAUAAGCUUGCUACUAGGUGUUGAAAUAAGUGGGACCAUGAAGACAUUACUAGAUUUUUUGCCCCGUAAUAUCCUUUAGGAAUGGACUUGGUAUUUUUUAAUGUCUCACGAAAUGUUGUUAGUUUAUAGUUGGUUUAUGUAUAUAUCUUUUGCAU